UUCUUUUUCUCUUUCUUUUUCUUUUUCUUUUUUUUUUCCAUGCAUGAUUUGGAUCAAACUUGCCAAAGAUAUCAGAAACUCCAAGAAACUGAGCUAGCUGCAAAAGUUGAUGACCUGAAUGCAUUGCAACUCAAACCUCUUUCUACUAAGCCUUCUUCAGACAGUAUGAAUUCCAAGAAGGAUGCCUGAAACUUAUCAGUUGAGGAGCUGCCUACUGAUGCAAUGAGAAAAGUAGAACAAAACUACAUGCUUGAUUGAGACUGUACUCAAUCAAUCAAUCCUACAGCCUCACACCACGUCUACAAGACUGUCUGCAAGAUGAAAAAACAGCCAAACCAAAAACAAAGAUACAUUUAGUCUUUCCUCAGGCUUGCUUUUUGAGGUAUUUUUUGGGAUAAGACUCUAACUGACUUAUCCAGGAGGUGACUGAUGAGUGUCACUGUGUGGCAAUCAACAUAACUUUGUGGACAUUUGAAAGCAUUUCCUUUGGAACUCUUUGCCUUCAGAAGAGAGUUCUCAGGAGCUUUUACUAUCAGAAGAUCUGGUCUGUGAGCAAAUAACUCCAGCUUCGUGUGGAAGAUUGGGGAAUUAUACCAUCACAUACUGUGAAAAACAGGAUGCAGGUGAGCACCUCCCAGUUCCCUCUUCUUUGCUGACAAGGUGUGGAAGAUGGGAACAAAGGAGUUUCUGCUGAGAUCCUAAAGCCAGAAGCUGCCACUCCAAAGAGAGCUGACUCGAUCACUUUGGACUUAUUUAUAGAAGUUGGUACUGUUGCCACUGUUGUCAUCAUCAACCAAACAACAACCCUUGACAACCCACCAUUUCUGAAGAUCAGUGUCUGAACUAGGAACCAAACCUAGUGGUGACUCUCUCUCUCCUGCUUUCUGCAAAGACUCCUUGCUUUUAUUUCCUGUCUUUAUCACCCACCUUCCCUUCUUCAUCUCCUUAAACAACUAGGAUUUGUAGUAAUCUGGUUGGGCUAACAUUUCACCCAUCGUCCCCUAAUCUCGCCAUCAGGCAUAUGUAUAUUAAAAGAACCUUCUCUCCCUCCCGUAUUAGGGAGACAAGGGUACCAUAUUACAAAUAAAUACCAGUGGAAUGAUGAUAGAGGUAGAAAGAUAUAGAGAUGUUAAUUUAAACUUGUAUUUCACUAAAUAAUACCUCUGGAUUUA
Tympanuchus pallidicinctus (lesser prairie-chicken) is the source of this 1172-nucleotide long non-coding RNA. RefSeq lists it as uncharacterized. The transcript has 2 exons. The record is from RefSeq and is a predicted model, not a curated record. NCBI's taxonomy places the organism in Eukaryota, Metazoa, Chordata, Aves, Galliformes, Phasianidae.